Chiloscyllium plagiosum (whitespotted bambooshark) is the source of this 412-nucleotide long non-coding RNA. RefSeq lists it as uncharacterized. Lineage: Eukaryota; Metazoa; Chordata; Chondrichthyes; Orectolobiformes; Hemiscylliidae. The record is from RefSeq and is a predicted model, not a curated record.
UCAAAAGUAUAAAACUAUCACCUAUCCAUUCUAAAGAAGGGUCAUACCAGACUUGACAUAUUAACUCUAUUUCUCUCUCCAGAGAUGCUGUCAGACCUGCUGAGUUUCUCCAGUAUUCUGUGGCUUUUCUUUUUACUUAAACUUGUGAUCCUGCCAGGUUUUCCAGUGUGCAUGACGUAAAUGAACUUGAGUGGAAACUGAAAGAAAAGGAUGAGACCACCGUGCCAUGACAUAGAAUAUGGGCCGAAAGCCAAAGACUGACACGCUGGGCCUGCCAAUUCUGGACGAGACUGCUGUGAUGGGCCACUGGAAGCUGAAGAUGAAGAAGACCUGUACAUGAGGACCAGACUGCUGCACUUUUAAACUAAUUAGAUUUGGUGAUGCCACUGGAUGGUUCCAUUCCAAUCUAGGA